GGGGAUUUAGCUAAGUGGCAUAAGUGCCUGCCUGGCAAGCACGAGGUCCUGAGUUCAAUCUCGGGUACCACA
Molecule: transfer RNA, 72 nt
Filed under: Cavia porcellus (domestic guinea pig)
Lineage: Eukaryota; Metazoa; Chordata; Mammalia; Rodentia; Caviidae
Rfam family: tRNA
About the family: Transfer RNA (tRNA) molecules are approximately 80 nucleotides in length. Their secondary structure includes four short double-helical elements and three loops (D, anti-codon, and T loops). Further hydrogen bonds mediate the characteristic L-shaped molecular structure. tRNAs have two regions of fundamental functional importance: the anti-codon, which is responsible for specific mRNA codon recognition, and the 3' end, to which the tRNAs corresponding amino acid is attached (by aminoacyl-tRNA synthetases). tRNAs cope with the degeneracy of the genetic code in two manners: having more than one tRNA (with a specific anti-codon) for a particular amino acid; and 'wobble' base-pairing, i.e. permitting non-standard base-pairing at the 3rd anti-codon position.
Source: Rfam by way of RNAcentral